Molecule: small nuclear RNA, 107 nt
Organism: Heterocephalus glaber (naked mole-rat)
Lineage: Eukaryota; Metazoa; Chordata; Mammalia; Rodentia; Bathyergidae
Source: Ensembl
GUGCUUGCUUCAGCAGCACAGAUACUAAAAUUGGAACGAUACCAAAAAGAUUAGCAUGGCUCCUGCUCAAGGAGAACACGCAAAUACAUGACGUGUUCUGUAUUUUU